This 108-nucleotide transfer RNA is filed under the name Cariama cristata (Red-legged seriema). It matches the Rfam family "tRNA". Rfam says of the family: Transfer RNA (tRNA) molecules are approximately 80 nucleotides in length. Their secondary structure includes four short double-helical elements and three loops (D, anti-codon, and T loops). Further hydrogen bonds mediate the characteristic L-shaped molecular structure. tRNAs have two regions of fundamental functional importance: the anti-codon, which is responsible for specific mRNA codon recognition, and the 3' end, to which the tRNAs corresponding amino acid is attached (by aminoacyl-tRNA synthetases). tRNAs cope with the degeneracy of the genetic code in two manners: having more than one tRNA (with a specific anti-codon) for a particular amino acid; and 'wobble' base-pairing, i.e. permitting non-standard base-pairing at the 3rd anti-codon position. Lineage: Eukaryota; Metazoa; Chordata; Aves; Cariamiformes; Cariamidae. The record is from Rfam by way of RNAcentral. RNAcentral also lists the same sequence under 1 other name.
GUCAGGAUGGCCGAGUGGUCUAAGGCGCCAGACUCAAGGCUUGGCUUUCCCUGCCCAGGGAUUUCUGGUCUCCAAAUGGAGGCGUGGGUUCAAAUCCCACUUCUGACA